This 252-nucleotide ribosomal RNA is filed under the name uncultured bacterium. RNAcentral's name for it is "partial 16S ribosomal RNA". It matches the Rfam family "Bacterial small subunit ribosomal RNA", at positions 57 to 305 of the family's 1533-position model. The record is from RNAcentral.
GCAAGUCGAACGGUAACAGGAAGAAGCUUGCUUCCUUGCUGACGAGUGGCGGACGGGUGAGUAAUGCGUAGGAAUCUGCCCAGUAGCGGGGGACAACGUGUGGAAACGCGCGCUAAUACCGCAUACGCCCUACGAGGGAAAGCAGGGGAUCUUCGGACCUUGUACUAUUAGAUGAGCCUAAGUCAGAUUAGCUUGUUGGUAGGGUAAUGGCCUACCAAGGCGACGAUCUGUAGCUGGUCUGAGAGGACGAUC